This 226-nucleotide unclassified non-coding RNA is filed under the name Hevea brasiliensis (rubber tree). The record is from RNAcentral. Lineage: Eukaryota; Viridiplantae; Streptophyta; Magnoliopsida; Malpighiales; Euphorbiaceae.
GGAAUAACUAACAAGCAUCCCACAAUGUGAGGUCUGGGAAGCCAAGUUCUCCAACAGUGCAUGAAAAAAGAGUUCAAAACUCAAUAGCUAAGUAAUAGAAAUUUCUGCUGCUUAAGCUUGAUGAAAAUUUCUGCAAUGGCUGGUAGUCAAAUUCAUUGUUACAUUUCAUCAUCAAAACUCAAAAAUUCUAGCCAUCCUGGUUAUCCGAGUCCGCCCUCAGUUAUUG